This 216-nucleotide ribosomal RNA is filed under the name Glomeromycotina sp. Its description in RNAcentral is "partial small subunit ribosomal RNA". The stretch from base 40 to 216 matches the Rfam family "Eukaryotic small subunit ribosomal RNA", at positions 686 to 864 of the family's 1831-position model. The record is from RNAcentral. Lineage: Eukaryota; Fungi; Glomeromycota.
GGGUCAGUAGGUUGGUCGUGCCACCGGUACGUACUGGUCUCACUGAUUCCUCCUUCCUGAAGAACCGUAAUACCAUUAAUUUGGUGUUGCGGGGAAACAGGACUGUUACUUUGAAAAAAUUAGAGUGUUUAAAGCAAGCUAACGCUUGAAUACAUUAGCAUGGAAUAAUGAAAUAGGACGAUCGAUCCUAUUUUGUUGGUUUCCAGGAUUGACGUA